UUGUUGUUUAGCUGAUGCCAGUGUCGCACUGUCGGGAGCGACCCUAGAGCAAUGUCCGUUAUGUUCGUGUUGCAGCCCUAGCCACUGCUGAAGCGUUCUUGUCGCUAGCCGUUCAUGCUGGCGCUCAGUAAUCAGGGGCGGUAGCAUUAGCGUUUCAUCAAUGCCCGUCUGCGCAAAGCUGUCCACAACACCCCGUUCGAACAGUCAGUGAACGCAAGGAGCGCGUAAAAAAUAGGUUGAGAGAAAGACACGGGACCCUCCACAUUUGUGCUCCUGUCGAUUCCUAGUCUAGCUCGCUUGGAGGAACGUUAGCAGUAGCAGAGGAGACACGGCCCUGGAUGAGCGAUGGACAAACCUAGAUUGCCUGCUGAUGAUGCCGACUCGGGUCGAGGAAGAAGUGGAAGUCUCUCUAAGGAUGACCAGCUCAAGCUCCAGAAGAAGCUCCAGGAGAGACCGGGGCGGGAGCAGCUGGUCAACCAGAACAUCCUCAAAUGUAAGUCAGCGUUUGCAGUCCUGUUCUUGGGAACUGAGUAAACACAUUCUUUCCGCACGCAGUCACUAUCUGUUGCCAAAUAGGGGACAGCUGGUCAACUAGAACAUCCUAAAAUGUAAGUCAGUGUUUCCAGUACACUGCAACCUGUCUGCGGCGACCGCUCAGGGGACCUUGCAGGGGACCUUGGGAAUGUGGUCCCUGCGUACAGGUGGUCUCCUUAUCCAGGGUCACUUGACUGGAAAUACCAUCCUUCGGUCCUACAGUCAGUUUCAAAAAGAUUAGCAAUCCUGGUGAUCGCCCGGGGAGUUUGCCGUCUUACCGUAUGAGCGCUCGAGCUUUGCCUGGAAAAACUCACUGUGAACUCGAAGAAAUAUUCCGCGCGAAAGCAUGAAAAAUGACAACUCACUCAGGUCGAUGUCGGUACAGUCGUGUACGUCUGGUUCACAACAAACGAGUUCUUCCUCGUAUCGAUUAUGCAGUCAGAGAGGACAUGUCGAAAGUGUAGUCAAUGCCGAGGCUGACGAGCGGCAUGGGUCCCAAUAUGUUUUGUGACCAAAUAGUUUCUUUGAGCUGCGAUGCAAUUUACUCUUACCAUGAUUGUGACGAAAACGACAUCGACACAGACUCAUUCCCAAGGCCAUGACUUGGCGAAGCUAUCCGUAUGACUUCGACAACAUUUUGAGAAAAGCAGACGCCUGUGGAAGCUGAUAGAAGACGGCGUUGACUUCUAAAAUUCAAAUAAAUUGGCGAUCUUGAAAUACUAAAAUAAUUCUCAAAAAGAAAUCGAUCGAUCGAUGUGCCGGUGUAUUCAACACGUAGCUACAGCGCAAUGACUUCCGUAUUCACUCACACCGUUUCAGUGUUGUGGGUGUGUUCACAUGGCGUGAGCCAGUCAAGUGUCAGUCAGUUCGGGAGGAAGCGGGAGCUCCAACAACAACAACCGUGAACAACAACAAGUCUGCUUGAUCACCAAAAAACAAUGAAAAAAAGUGUGAGUUGAAGAUAGGUUGGGAUUUGAACUCACAACUUCAUGGUCAGCAGACAGCAUCCAUAACCACAAGGCCGGCCAGAAAGGAAAGAUAAAUCGUGGGUUUUGAUAGAAAAAUCGAUACUGGCUUCCAGGGCAAAUUGUAAACCAUGGGAAAAGGCCGGAAACCUGGCCGAAAUUCUAACUCCUUAACGGCUGGUCCAAUUGUUCCGAAACCUUCACAGAACAAUUUGCCGUGCCCUAACCAGCCCUUUUAUGUACUUCGUUGUCCAAUUUUCCCUUAUCUUCAUACUUUUUAAGACCAAAACCUGAUUGCUAAUCUUUUUGAAACAGACUAUAGUUGCAGUGGUCUUCUAGGACUGGUGGUCGCCUAAUCCGAGUGGUGGCCUUGACAGGUUGAACUGUACUGGUCUUGGGAACGUCGCUUCUCCAUAUUCUUUCUUCGCCCGUAAAUAUAACGAAUCAACAACAAAGCCAAGGAUCUUUGUAGGUCAAAACAUGACACCUUCUUUCCACAUGCAUUACCGUAUUUCCCCGUAAGUUAGUACGUACUAACUUUCGAACUUAGCAGCCACAUGAGUACUAACUUUCGGGGGUGGUACUAUCUUUCGGGGAGUACUUUUUUAUCGGGGGUAAAUGACACGCAGUGGGAAGCCUGCGCAACUGUAGUGUCCGUGCAUAUGAUGUACAUGUAUGUACUGUACGGUGUCUGUACAUGUAGGACGGGUACGAACUUACUAUCUUUCGGGGGGAACUGUCUUUCGGGGUGAUAACCUCGGCAGUGGAAAGUGUAUUUUUUAUAGGGGGGUACUAAGGCAUUAGGGAGAACUUACUUACGGCAAAAUACGGUAUGUGGACUAUCUGUUGCCGAAUGGUGGUGUACUAGCAGUGCAAGCUCGUAAACUAUGUCAAAUGUAACUCUGCAAAGUUUGGCCCAUUUAAAUGUCAGCCUCCCAGGGCUAAAACUCAUUUAAGUUCAGUCUGCAAAUUUUCGGCCCAUUGUUGUGAAAUGGUGAUUGUGUUGUUUUCCUGUGUGAUGGCAUUCCCCAAACUGUCUCGUCUAGCCGCGUGCAUGUGUGAUAUGAGCAUGCGCGAUUUUGUACUUGAGAGGCGUUUUGUCAGUCUUCUUGUUUGUCUCUGUCAGAGCAGUUUGCUUUUCCGUCUUGUCAAUAUAAAUAAUGUAACAAACAAGUCUUGUCCUUUGUGUCCUGCGUCCCGGGGAACGGAAUCGCCGAGAUUCCGUAACAACAUUCUAAUUUCAGCCUCCCAGGGCUAAAACCCAUUUUUGCUGCAUCACAUUUUCGGCCUAUACUGCUGCCUCCUGUAUACACUGUCACACUGAACCUUGCAAAACAAUUUCAGCCCAACAUGACCAGGCUGAAAACAGCCGAAAAUAAAUAUGCGCCGAAUAUUUGUUGACUCACAGUAACUGCUGGUUCAGGGUGUCGAACAGCAUGUCCAUCAUGCCACGGUCCAGUCGGUGCUUUUACAGUUGGAUGCUUCACCCGUCUCGUCGUGUAUGUAGAUUUUUGUGCUCAAUCGUAUUGUAUAUCACUCGCCGUGCUCUGUUGUAGUUGCUCCCAUCCCAUAUAUUCAU
Long non-coding RNA from Sycon ciliatum, 3078 nucleotides. RefSeq lists it as uncharacterized. The record is from RefSeq and is a predicted model, not a curated record. The transcript has 3 exons. NCBI's taxonomy places the organism in Eukaryota, Metazoa, Porifera, Calcarea, Leucosolenida, Sycettidae.